Molecule: long non-coding RNA, 595 nt
Filed under: Homo sapiens (human)
Lineage: Eukaryota; Metazoa; Chordata; Mammalia; Primates; Hominidae
Description: non-protein coding lnc-FOXO3-5:2
Source: RNAcentral
UACUUAUAUAUGCUAUGAUAAUUAUCAUGUACACCUAAAUAGACUAAUAAUUUAAUAUGAAAACAGAUUCUUUUAUAUUGUUCAAAUGUAAUGGGUAAUAUCUAAUGAAAUACUUCUAUAAUUUACCUAUAGUUUGAUAAUAAAGAAGAAUUUUUAAAAUAUAUAAUAACUUGGUAAGCAAUAUUUCACAAUAUUUCAGAUUUCUUGAUCUUUGUUUCAGUUUCAGGGUACCUGCAGAAUACAGACAUUUUGAGUUAAGAAAACCACACGUCUAUCUUCAAAAUUGAGAUUACCCUCUAUAUUUCAUUUUUCAUAAUUGCACAGAAAUGACAUCACCCAAUUUUCCAAAUUAUAUGACUUGAAUUUCACACUGGAUGUUUCAAAAAUUUGUUGAUUAACUUAUUGGAUAGUGACUCACUCAUUCACUGUCGUAUACCUUAUUUAUUAUGGUUAUUGCUUAUUUUCUGUUGAUUAGGUUGUAAGCCCUGUGAGAUCAGAGAUCUAUUUUGAUGCACACCAAGUACCUAGGACAGUGUUUGACAUGGGGGAGCCACUCAGUAAAUAUUUUUUGAAUGAAAAAUUAUGUGAUCAAAUU